RNAcentral lists this ribosomal RNA (590 nucleotides) under uncultured Anaerococcus sp. RNAcentral describes it as "bacterial SSU rRNA". It matches the Rfam family "Bacterial small subunit ribosomal RNA", at positions 1 to 599 of the family's 1533-position model. The record is from RNAcentral. Lineage: Bacteria; Bacillati; Bacillota; Tissierellia; Tissierellales; Peptoniphilaceae.
UAGAGUUUGAUCCUGGCUCAGGAUUAACGCUGGCGGCGUGCAUAACACAUGCAAGUCGAACGAUGAAACUUAAAUGAUUUCUUCGGAAUGAACUUAAGUGGAUUAGUGGCGGACGGGUGAGUAACGCGUGAGUAACCUGCCUUACACAAGGGGAUAGCCGUUGGAAACGACGAAUAAUACCCUAUGAAACUAUCGCUUCGCAUGAAGCGAUAGUCAAAGUGUUAGCGGUGUAAGAUGGACUUGCGUCUGAUUAGCUAGUUGGUGAGAAAAAAGCCCACCAAGGCAACGAUCAGUAGCCGGCUUGAGAGAGUGUACGGCCACAUUGGGACUGAGACACGGCCCAGACUCCUACGGGAGGCAGCAGUGGGGAAUUUUGCACAAUGGGGGAAACCCUGAUGCAGCGACGCCGCGUGAUUUAGAAGGCCUUCGGGUUGUAAAAAUCUUUUGUAUAGGAAGAAAAUGACAGUACUAUACGAAUAAGGUCCGGCUAAUUACGUGCCAGCAGCCGCGGUAAUACGUAAGGACCGAGCGUUGUCCGGAAUCAUUGGGCGUAAAGGGUACGUAGGCGGGUCAUUAAGUUAGAAGUCAAA